RNAcentral lists this unclassified non-coding RNA (146 nucleotides) under soil metagenome. Its description in RNAcentral is "partial internal transcribed spacer 1". The record is from RNAcentral.
CCGAGUUUACAACUCCCAAACCCCUGCGAACAUACCUAUAUGUUGCCUCGGCGGAUCAGCCCGCGCCCCGUAAAACGGGACGGCCCGCCGCAGGAUCCACAAACUCUGUUUUUAUUGUAACUUCUGAGUAACAAACAAAUAAAUCA